This 497-nucleotide ribosomal RNA is filed under the name uncultured bacterium. Its description in RNAcentral is "partial 16S ribosomal RNA". It matches the Rfam family "Bacterial small subunit ribosomal RNA", at positions 899 to 1397 of the family's 1533-position model. The record is from RNAcentral.
ACUCAAAUGAAUAGACGGGGGCCCGCACAAGCGGCGGAGCAUGCGGAUUAAUUCGAUGCAACGCGAAGAACCUUACCUGGGUUUGACAUCGCCGGAAAACUCGUAGAGAUACGGGGUCCUUCGGGGCCGGUGACAGGUGGUGCAUGGCUGUCGUCAGCUCGUGUCGUGAGAUGUUGGGUUAAGUCCCGCAACGAGCGCAACCCUCGUUCGAUGUUGCCAGCGCGUUAUGGCGGGGACUCAUCGAAGACUGCCGGGGUCAACUCGGAGGAAGGUGGGGAUGACGUCAAGUCAUCAUGCCCCUUAUGUCCAGGGCUUCACGCAUGCUACAAUGGCCGGUACAAAGGGUUGCGAUGCCGUGAGGUGGAGCGAAUCCCAAAAAGCCGGUCUCAGUUCGGAUCGGGGUCUGCAACUCGACCCCGUGAAGUCGGAGUCGCUAGUAAUCGCAGAUCAGCAACGCUGCGGUGAAUACGUUCCCGGGCCUUGUACACACCGCCCGU